CGGUAAAACUAGAUUCCUUUCUCCCACUCAUGCACACACCAGACACACUGUGCUUUAAGCUCUUUAUCUGAAGUCCUUUGCUGUUCAUGCAGCCUCUUCUUGUCAUUGCACCUUGAAGAACGGGGCAAAAAUAUCCCAAAACUUGGGUGGCUGUACUAUUUUUGUGAGACCAAGUUUCACGAUAUAUGUUUUAUUAAGUCAUAUUUCUGUUGCCUGUAAUUUUUAAUUCAAAGACAGGUCUUGUUUUGGCUUGGUAAACCCUUCCUUUCUAUGCCUUUUUUUUUUUGCUUUUGGUUUUGAUUAGUUGUCAGGAGGCACAACUGGUAUCACUUUUAGAACAUAGAACAUGGAGAGCUAUUGGGUAUUUGCUUGUUCCUUGUUUUAGACAGUGUCUGAAAAGUUGUGAAGCUCCCUUUGUUAUUUUCUGGAAACUGCUAAAAGGGGAGUUUGGUAUGGUUGCUGUGAGAUGUCUGAAUUCAAUUUGAGCAUUCAGUUCAAAUCCAAAUAUAAAUAUCAUUAAAAGGCAUGCUGCACUCUGAAAUAGAAAAUGAGAAUAAGAAAUCCGUUCUAUUUCUCAUUUCUCUUCACUAUUGUUUGGAAGUCAAAUCUCAUUCUUGAUAAGGUCAUAUGAUGCUGCACUUUCAUUCUCAUAAUAUUUUUAUUGCUGUUUCCGCAUCCUAAAUGAAAUUGAUGUUGCACAGGAGGUAGACUAUUUCAUGGUGAUGAUAGGUCGGCCGCCAUAUUAAUAAAAAGGCGCAGUGGGUUGGGCUAAUGGGUUUGCUAUUCUCAAUCAAGCAAGGAAAGACUGCCUAUGAUUACUAUUGUCAAAUAGCUGCAAUACUAGGUUCUAGUAUGGAGAAUUGACGUAAACACAGUACAGAUUGGAGCACCAAUCGGAUGCCUGCAUUGAUUUGCCAUUCAUCUCUCAGUAGUCACAGAAUACCAGGAGGCGCUCCAUCAAACAAGAUGUGAAAAUCGGGUAUCAUAUAUUUUUGAAACUGUACCUUUUGUCUUCCCUCAUCCUCGUGCACAACAGCACACUGUCCAAUCUUCAUCACCAUCAUCUUAUCUUCAUCAUCUCCACCCAUCAUACGACCAGAUUUAGUAUCUUCCUUAGAAUUCUAAAAACUUUCAAAUUCUCUAAACUAAAAAGAUUAUUUUAGAAAAUGAAAAGUUUAGAACUUCUGAUAAGGAGAAUUUUAAAACCUUUCAAAUUCUAAAUAAUUCUUAAAUACCAAUUACUAAUUAAUUAUGACACCUAAAAACUGAUAAAUUACUUAAAUGCCCUUGAUGGAGUAAUUUAGGGAUUUCAUAUUCAUCCUCAGUAGUCAUGUUGGCAACUUCGUGGAAAGCCUCCAAUAGUUUGUGGAGGAGGAAAUGAGAGGUGAGGUGGAAACCAAGGGUGUUGGCAACCUAAUGGAAAGCAUAGGGGGAGAAUAUAUUUUGCUUAGACAGGUAACUAUUCUCUUGCAUGUCUUAAAAGAACAAUUUUUAAACCCUGGGUAAUUUGAUUCACCAACUUUGGACUAUACGACCAAUUCGUCAAGUUGCUUCCUAACUAAUAGCAUAUGCCAUGAAAUCAAAAAAUCAAAAUUGCAAAUAGAAUGUUCAUCACCACAGUUGGCUAAAGAGAUGUCUCUUUGGGUAAAGAUAUCGUCCUUUAUUUAAAGAGUGAACCCAUCUAGUUCUAGUCCAACGGUCCCAUUUUAGGAGGAAAUCCCUUUCUUGGAUUCAGCCCCCUUCCUUUGCAUGUAUUAAAACUUUUUGUAAACCUAUUAUCUAUUUCUUAAAUCACCAAAACUGUGAAUAAUUCUAUAAAUCUCUCACAUUCUAAAUGUGUUUUUCAUGAACUUAAUAUAAGAAAGAUGAUUGGACAUGCUAGAGAGAAAGAUGGACCACACAUCCUUGAAGUUGAAAGCAAUAUAACAUGCUUAAGUCCUCUUUCCUAUUUAUAAAGUUCCAAGUUCCAAGUCCACGAAGUUUGUUUACUCUAUCUUUGUCUUAGUCAUCCAUUGUUUAGGUUAUUAAAGAAAAUGUUUCCUAAUGUGUUGGAAAAAAUUAGAUAUUCAAAAUUUCAUUGUAAUGUAUGUAAACAUACUAAACAUCAUCAAGUGUCUUUUUCUUUGAAUAAUAAAAGAAAUUAUAUUCCUUAUAGUUUAAUUCAUACUGAUAUUUGAGAACUUACAAAGGUCUAAAGUACUUUUACGGCACAACGGUCUUUUAUUAAUGAUUAUACAAUAAUUACCUAAGUAUACCUAAUGAAACAAAAGCCAGAUAUUAGUACCAUAUUUUUUGUUUUUCAUAAAAUGUUAAGUACCCAAUUUAACUCAAAAAUGCAAACCUUGAGAUUUGAUAAUGGGAGGAAAUACUUUAACUAAUAUCUUUCAUUGUGAAAUUUAGUUAAUUUUGAUUUUGAUGAUAAUAAAAUAAGAUUUGAAACUAAUUAUUAGAUUUCAAGUGUGAUUAGGCAAGAAGAUUUCCAAAAUGACAAUCACAAAGACAAAAUCAAGACAAAUGGAAAUCAAUAAGAAGAUAGACUUCAAAGAAAAGUGUUUUUCAAGACCUAAGCUUUAUAAGAUCUUUUUGUAAGGUUGUUGGUGCACUAGGUUUUUCAUGCAUUACAUUAUUAACUUAUGCACCAAAAUCAUCCAAAAGUAAUUUUGUUUUAAAUCCUUUAAAAUUGAAUGAUUUCAUGUUUUCAACUAAAACAUUAUGUCAAAUGUUUUCCAAACUCGUUUAAAAGGUUUUAAGUUGAAAAUGAUGGUUGUUGAGCAAAAAACGGCUCAACCGGUUGAACCAUAUAAGGAACCAAUUGACCUACUCAGCUCAACUGGUCGAAGAGUGCAAAAACCUUUUCUUUCUUUCACAACGUUUGUUCAACCGGUCAAGGUUGAACCUCAACCGGUCAAAGUCCAGUCAAAAGGUGGUUAAGGUCCAACGGUCACCUGCCAAACAUUAAAUAAUAAUAGCUAGUCAACCGGUCAAUCCCCAACUUGAUCAGUCAAAUCCUCAAUGGCUAGUUUGACAUUUUUCUUUUAUAAAAAGGCUUCAAUCUGCAUUGUUUCAAGAGCUUAACCUUCCUAAACAUUUCUUGAAUAUAUUGAGCCUUGGGAUAUUGUUUUUUGAGUGCACCAUUAUUUUAAAACUUGUAUAUCUUUAGUGCACCAUUUAAUCCUAAUUUUCUUGUAUCAUUUGAGCCUAAAGUUUAAUACUAGGAUUUUGUGAAAUUAUUUGUAAAUCAUUUAAAGGAAGAAUCUAGGUGUGAGGUAUCACUUGAGGGAUUGUAAAAGGUGCUUGCACCCAAAAGUCCAAAGGGGUUCAUUGGAACCAUAAUCUAAUUAUAUUGUUUGAAAACUUGUAUCGGAAGCCUUGAAUUAGUGGAUUAGUAUGCACCCCCAAUAUCCUCAAAAAGACAAUUGGUUGACAUAUUCACUAAAGGACUAACAACUCAACCAUUCCAAUAUGUUAUAAACAAGUUGAGAAUGAAAAACAUUCACUCACCACUUUAAAGGGGAGUGUUAAAGAACUAGUGCAAUAAUUGUAAAAUUAUACAACUCGUAUAAUUUGUAAACAUUUCUGUUACUAUGUGGACAUUUUAAAGUUUUAUGAGAGAAGAAAUAUCUCCUCACAUCAGAGCUCACAAUACCUGAUAACUUUGCAUCAAUUCUUGAUGAGUGGUGGGCAAAGCUAUGCGCAUUUCAGUAAUGCAAAAGGGAAUAUUCUGCCCGGUAAGAACCUGUCCUGUUUUUAGUGGUUCAUUUGGAGAGGGUCUGAACAAGUGAAUCAAGGAUCACAUAAGCAUUAGGUUAAUUAAUUAAAUAUUCUGAAUAAUCAUACGCAGUUCUCUUAACUAAUAGCAGAAGCAACUUUUAAAUAUGUGUAUGUAUUCUUGCAUAUAUUCUCUCUUUUUGUUCUGUGUCUGUGUUCUCUACUUUUGUGAUAAAUGCUUAUCAGAUGUGCACCAUUUUCCUCUAUGGAGUUGAUUUCUUUUCUGUGUAGACUGGUUGUGAGCUCAUUAUAAGAAAAAAAGAAGCUUUAACACAGCCACCAGCCACAGCUUCUGUUAUCACAAUGCAACCUCCACUGCCCCACUCCAUGCUUCCAUACCAACCACCACCAGCCCAGGUUGUUGCUCGUACAAGCACUGCUCCUUCACUUCCAACACCUGCCCCUGCAAAGACAAGCGAGUCGUCUCAUCCACCACUGAAAUGCCCCAUGGCUGGAACCUUUUAUCGAUCCCCUGGACCAGGUGAACCUCCAUUUGUGAUGGUAAGCGUUUGACUUAGUAAAUAAGAUCUAAGGGGAUGGGAACCGACACAUGCUCACUCAAGCUUGGCUAUUUAAUAUAAACUUAAGGAGUUAGAUAUUAAUUCGGAGUCAGAUUCAUUCCCUGUCUGAUAUUCACUCAUCUCUCUUCAGGUAGGAGAUAAAGUGCAGAAAGGACAGGUUGUUUGUAUUAUUGAGGCCAUGAAAUUAAUGAAUGAAAUUGAAGUGAGUUCCCUUUUUUUUCUUUAUUGAUCAUGUAUUUUUUUGUCUCUUUUAUGGUCUCAUAAUACUGAGAAUUGCUGCCAUUGUCUUAACUAAGAAAAUUUAUUAACCAUGGUGCUUUAACCAGAAUCAAAACUGAAAUAGCCUGAAAUGGGAGAUUUUUAUUAAUUAAACUACUUUUUCAUUUUCCUGUGACAGGCUGAUCAAUCGGGAACCAUAACUGAGAUACUGGCAGAGGAUGGGAAGCCAGUUAGUAUAGACAGGGUAAAACUAGCUCCCUUUCUCCCACUCAUGCACACACCACCAGACACAUCGUGCGUUAAGCUCUUUAUCUGAAGUCCUUUGUUGGCCAUGCAGCCUCUUCUUGUCAUUGCACCUUGAAGAACGGGGCAAAAAUAUCCGAAAACUUGGGUGGCAGUAAUUUUAAGUCAUAUUUCUGUUGCCUGUAAUUUUUAAUUCAAAGACGGGUCUUGUUUUGGCUUGGUAAACCCUUCCUUUCUGUGCC
Molecule: long non-coding RNA, 4993 nt
Filed under: Vitis vinifera (wine grape)
Lineage: Eukaryota; Viridiplantae; Streptophyta; Magnoliopsida; Vitales; Vitaceae
Description: long non-coding RNA (VVIN_LNC004912)
Source: RNAcentral